GCGGAUGUAGCGCAGCUGGUAGCGCAUCACCUUGCCAAGGUGAGGGUCGCGGGUUCGAAUCCCGUCAUCCGCUCAA
Molecule: transfer RNA, 76 nt
Filed under: Nocardia brasiliensis
Lineage: Bacteria; Bacillati; Actinomycetota; Actinomycetes; Mycobacteriales; Nocardiaceae
Also listed under: 8 other names
Description: tRNA-Gly
Rfam family: tRNA
About the family: Transfer RNA (tRNA) molecules are approximately 80 nucleotides in length. Their secondary structure includes four short double-helical elements and three loops (D, anti-codon, and T loops). Further hydrogen bonds mediate the characteristic L-shaped molecular structure. tRNAs have two regions of fundamental functional importance: the anti-codon, which is responsible for specific mRNA codon recognition, and the 3' end, to which the tRNAs corresponding amino acid is attached (by aminoacyl-tRNA synthetases). tRNAs cope with the degeneracy of the genetic code in two manners: having more than one tRNA (with a specific anti-codon) for a particular amino acid; and 'wobble' base-pairing, i.e. permitting non-standard base-pairing at the 3rd anti-codon position.
Source: RNAcentral